GACGAACGCUGGCGGCGUGCUUAACACAUGCAAGUCGAACGGGUCUGCCCUGUUUUUUGCGGGGUGGGUCAGUGGCGAACGGGUGAGUAACACGUGAGUAACCUGCCCCUCACUUCUGGAUAACCGCUUGAAAGGGUGGCUAAUACGGGGUGUUCUGGCUGUGCCGCAUGGUGUGGCUGGGAAAGAUUCACUUUUGUGGUGUUUUGGUGGGGGAUGGGCUCGCGGCCUAUCAGCUUGUUGGUGGGGUGAUGGCCUGCCAAGGCUUUGACGGGUAGCCGGCCUGAGAGGGUGGGCGGUCACACUGGGACUGAGAUACGGCCCAGACUCCUGCGGGAGGAAGCAGUGGGGGGUAUUGCACAAUGGGCGGAAGCCUGAUGCAGCGACGUCGCGUGAGGGAUGGAGGCCUUCGGGUUGUGAACCUCUUUCGCCGGUGAAGAAGGUCCUGCUCUUUGUGGUGGGGUUGACGGUAGCCGGGUUAUGAAGCGCCGGCUAACUACGUG
Molecule: ribosomal RNA, 500 nt
Filed under: uncultured bacterium
Lineage: Bacteria
Description: partial 16S ribosomal RNA
Rfam family: Bacterial small subunit ribosomal RNA
Source: RNAcentral